This 100-nucleotide transfer RNA is filed under the name Bordetella bronchiseptica. RNAcentral describes it as "tRNA-Ile(gat)". Lineage: Bacteria; Pseudomonadati; Pseudomonadota; Betaproteobacteria; Burkholderiales; Alcaligenaceae. RNAcentral also lists the same sequence under 8 other names. The record is from RNAcentral.
GCCAAUGCUAGCUUUGGUGCAAUCCGAGCAUGUUUGAUAGAGGUGGCGUAGCGUUCUUGUAAUGAGAAGGUCGAGGGUUCGAUUCCUUUCACCGGCACCA